RNAcentral lists this ribosomal RNA (443 nucleotides) under uncultured bacterium. RNAcentral's name for it is "partial 16S ribosomal RNA". It matches the Rfam family "Bacterial small subunit ribosomal RNA", at positions 338 to 795 of the family's 1533-position model. The record is from RNAcentral.
CCUACGGGUGGCAGCAGUGGGGAAUAUUGCACAAUGGGCGAAAGCCUGAUGCAGCAACGCCGCGUGAAGGAAGAAGGGUUUCGGCUCGUAAACUUCUAUCAACAGGGACGAAAGAAAUGACGGUACCUGAAUAAGAAGCCUCGGCUAACUACGUGCCAGCAGCAGCGGGAAUACGUAGGGGGCAAUCGUUAUCCGGAAUUACUGGGUGUAAAGGGUGAGUAGGCGGCAUGGUAAGCCAGAUGUGAAAGCCUUGGGCGUAACCCGAGGAUUGCAUUUGGAACUAGCAAGCUUGAGUACAGGAGAGGAAAGCGGAAUUCGUGGUGUAGCGGUGAAAUGCGUAGAUAUUAGGGAGAACACCGGUGGCGAAGGCAGCUUUCUGGACUGAAACUGACGCUGAGGCACGAAAGCGUGGGGAGCGAACAGGAUUAGAUACCCGUGUAGUC